Long non-coding RNA from Solea senegalensis (Senegalese sole), 649 nucleotides. RefSeq lists it as uncharacterized. The record is from RefSeq and is a predicted model, not a curated record. NCBI's taxonomy places the organism in Eukaryota, Metazoa, Chordata, Actinopteri, Pleuronectiformes, Soleidae. The transcript is spliced from 4 exons.
GGGAGAGAGACAGGGGAAUCAGUGGUGGAGCUGACCUGCAGAAAGAGCUACAGAUCAUAGGAAUGCCAGGCUGCCACGGCUUGACGUGACUCGGCACACAGCCACCGCGGGGAAACACCUAAAGUGUGGGUUUGCACUUUCACUGGAGCACGGAGUGAAAAGGGGAGAAGGAAGGAGAGGAAAUGACAGAGGGAGACAAUGAAAAUGGCAGACACGGCAGAGAUAAGGAGACAGCAAAGGACAAAGAAGAAUAUGACAAGAAUAUGCAGAGGAAAGCGCUACGUCCUUUGUGAUCAACCAAGCAGAAAUAUUUAAUUACAAAACCUAUUAUGAGGUGGUGAAUGCACCACAUCUGACUGAACCAACCCCCCCAAGCAGAACAUUUUCAGGAGGUGAAGUGAAGGAGAGAAAGACUGUGAGGAGCAGAAGGUGCUCACCUUACUGUAGAACAUCUCGUCUCCCGCAACGAUGUCCAGCUCCACACGGAAAAGGUCAUCCCUGGAAAGAGAGAGGAGCGUUAAGGCCAGACACGGCGCGCUGUUCUUUCAGUGUCUAUAGGGAGAAGAACUGCUCUGCUCACAGCAAUUUGAUGCAGCUUUUCUUUUGGAUGAACUCCAGGCACACACUUAAUACAAACUGAAUAAAGAUG